GCAGUACACAGCCCAUGAGGAUGAGAACCUCCGGGGGCAGGGAGGUUCGACUCGAGCGAAGCGAGAGAACGUUGCGCCAGCAACGGCCCGCAGGGCGAGCCACGAAGUGGCGAGUAAUCCUCUAUCACCGACCA
RNAcentral lists this small RNA (134 nucleotides) under Escherichia coli. RNAcentral's name for it is "RtT sRNA". It matches the Rfam family "RtT RNA". From Rfam's summary of the family: This family represents a bacterial cis-regulatory element known as RtT RNA. The record is from RNAcentral. Lineage: Bacteria; Pseudomonadati; Pseudomonadota; Gammaproteobacteria; Enterobacterales; Enterobacteriaceae.